UUGUAAGUGUUUAAGAGCGUACGGUGGAUGCCUUGGCACCAGGAGCCGAUGAAGGACGUAGGAGGCUGCGAUAAGCCUCGGGGAGCUGUCAACCGAGCUGAGAUCCGAGGAUGUCCGAAUGGGGAAACCCAGCCACAGUGAUGUGUGGUUACCCGCGCCUGAAUAUAUAGGGCGUGUGGAGGGAACGUGGGGAAGUGAAACAUCUCAGUACCCACAGGAAGAGAAAACAACAUGUGAUUCCGUGAGUAGUGGCGAGCGAAAGCGGAAGAGGCUAAACCAUGAGUGUGUGAUAGCCGGCGGGCGUUGCAUUCGUGGGGUUGUGGGAUCCGUCUUGUCAAUUCUGCCGGAUUGGCCGACAGUGAGAAAUCAUCGUGUUAGUCGAAGUGGUCUGGAACGGCCUGUCGUAGAGGGUGAGAGUCCCGUAGACGAAAACAUGGUGACUGUCGUGACGGACACCCGAGUAGCAGCGGGCCCGUGAAAUCUGCUGUGAAUCUGUCGGGACCACCCGAUAAGCCUGAAUACUCCCUGGUGACCGAUAGCGGACUAGUACCGUGAGGGAAAGGUGAAAAGUACCCCGGGAGGGGAGUGAAAUAGUACCUGAAACCGUGCGCUUACAAUCCGUCAGAGCCUGCGCCACUUUUGGUGGGUGGGUGAUGGCGUGCCUUUUGAAGAAUGAGCCUGCGAGUUAGCGGC
RNAcentral lists this ribosomal RNA (693 nucleotides) under Rhodococcus (subgen. Prescottella) equi. RNAcentral describes it as "Rhodococcus equi partial 23S ribosomal RNA". It matches the Rfam family "Bacterial large subunit ribosomal RNA", at positions 1 to 635 of the family's 2925-position model. The record is from RNAcentral. Lineage: Bacteria; Bacillati; Actinomycetota; Actinomycetes; Mycobacteriales; Nocardiaceae.